This 369-nucleotide unclassified non-coding RNA is filed under the name uncultured fungus. RNAcentral's name for it is "sequence contains ITS1". The stretch from base 1 to 99 matches the Rfam family "5.8S ribosomal RNA", at positions 50 to 154 of the family's 154-position model. The record is from RNAcentral. Lineage: Eukaryota; Fungi.
GAAUUGCGAAAUGUAAUGUGAAUUGCAGAAUUCGUGAAUCAUCAAAUCUUUGAACGCACAUUGCACUGUCCUCGAGGCAGUAUGUCUGUUUGAGUAUCUGUACCCCAUUAUCUCGGCAUAUUUGUGUCGGGCAAUUGAGCAGCUACUUUGCGCUUAUCGCGACUUAGUACUGGUUGAAAUGAAGGUGGUUUAGCGAGGUAGUUAUGCACCCGCUAUACUGAAACAUGGUGGUAAACUAGCCCGAGUCGGCAGCGGAACAUCAGUCAUGGUUACGACUUUUGACUCGGUCCCUUCCGCUGCACUCAACGACUCUUGCCAAGUGCCCCAAUUAAAGAUCUCAAAUUAGACAAGAUUACCCGCUGAACUUAA